This 468-nucleotide ribosomal RNA is filed under the name uncultured bacterium. RNAcentral's name for it is "partial 16S ribosomal RNA". It matches the Rfam family "Bacterial small subunit ribosomal RNA", at positions 28 to 507 of the family's 1533-position model. The record is from RNAcentral.
GACGAACGCUGGCGGCGUGCUUAACACAUGCAAGUCGAACGGAAAGGCCCUGCUUUUGUGGGGUGCUCGAGUGGCGAACGGGUGAGUAACACGUGAGUAACCUGCCCUUGACUUUGGGAUAACUUCAGGAAACUGGGGCUAAUACCGGAUAGGAGCUCCUGCUGCAUGGUGGUGGUUGGAAAGUUUCGGCGGUUGGGGAUGUGCUCGCGGCUUAUCAGCUUGUUGGUGGGGUAGUGGCUUACCAAGGCUUUGACGGGUAGCCGGCCUGAGAGGGUGACCGGCCACAUUGGGACUGAGAUACGGCCCAGACUCCUACGGGAGGCAGCAGUGGGGAAUAUUGCACAAUGGGCGGAAGCCUGAUGCAGCAACGCCGCGUGCGGGAUGACGGCCUUCGGGUUGUAAACCGCUUUCGCCUGUGACGAAGCGUGAGUGACGGUAAUGGGUAAAGAAGCACCGGCUAACUACGUG